Molecule: long non-coding RNA, 3684 nt
Organism: Aegilops tauschii subsp. strangulata
Lineage: Eukaryota; Viridiplantae; Streptophyta; Magnoliopsida; Poales; Poaceae
Source: RefSeq, a predicted model, not a curated record
AGGAAAACACCACAAAGAAAACUCCCCUCGAUCUAUUUGCUAGGUCGAUCGUGAAGCUCGCCGCCGCCGCCAUCAUGGAACGCCUCGCCGCCGCCAUCGUGGAACGCCUCGCCGCCGCCAACGUGGAGCCCUUCACCGAAGCAGAGGUCCAGGAUGGCCGCCGCCGAGGUCCGAGAUCGCCAUCCCUAUCUGUUUCUUGUUCGCUGGCCUCUCUCACAUUCCCCAUCUCUCUCUCUCUCUCUCUCUCUCUCUCGCGCGCGCGCGCGCGCGCGCGCGCGCGCGCGUCAUUGCCACCGCUGCCCACUACCGGCUGCGUCUGCCGCUACCCCCAUGGCGCUACCGACUCCGAUGAGAUCUCCCCUUUCUAACAUAUGCGGCCGCCUCGCUGUUCCUGCCCCACGUGCGGCCCCGCGGCUAACCCUAGCAACCUCUAUCUCCAACGGUGGCGCCUCCCUCGUCCUCUCACAACCCCGUCCUCCUCCCUACGCGUGCUCCACACGUAUCUCCGACGAUGAUGGCGGCCAACAGGCUGUGGGCCUACCAGAGGGCACGGCAGGCGGCAACGCAAGGCAGCGGGGCGCAUGGUCGAUGCUCACGACAAUGGUAUGCGCGAGCAUGCCACAGGCAGCGGCCAGGUGUGUGAGGGCAGUAGCCAGUGAGGGCACGCUGAUGUUCGUCUGGGCCACACGUCACAGUACAGUACAAAUACUGGCCAUCUAUUGGGCGGAUCUGGUAGUGAUUUCACCGAUUUCAGGUAAGAAUGCUCUCUCCUCUUUGUAGUUAAUUAAACAGAUCCGUAAGCUGCUUGACUGCUACAACUGGUUGUAUCACCGUCCGGUUACUUCGGGUGAAUAAGGCAGAACGAAUUAUGCCAUGUAUGUUCCAUCUCAUUUUGUUCAAUGCUUGUGCUUUCCGUAAUUGGGAGUCUCCAAGUUUUGAUUGCAUUUAUUAGAAUGAUUGGUACUAUCAGGUUGAUGAACGGAAUGUGAAGCUUAUAUGAAACAGUGGGAUUUUCAGUUUGUAUGCUCGUCCAUUAACUCAAUUUUUGCAGGUUUCAUGAUAUAGUAAUUCUGCAAAUGUGUCGACUUUCUAUUUAGUUUUCCACUGCCAUUUAAUUGUUAAACUUUCUAGAUCAAAAUCUCAAGAAUACCCAAUAUGAUUCUUUUUUGUUAUUUCUUUCAGCGAGCCACACAGAGAUCUGACAAAGGUCCUAUAGAACUGACCACGAGAGCGGCGGCAAGUGCAGCAGUGCGUACUCAACGGUUGACCGACUACGUGCAAAUCAUGUCCCCAGUGUGAUUGAGAAUGGCGGUAAAUUAUUAGACACAAGCGGUUAAUUUCUACCAAUUAGAACUACACAGUGAAGCCUGGCAAAAUGGCCACAAGUAUUGGUUCAUAACACAUGCGUUUUAGCGGGAUGGAGGUAAUAUUGAGAGAGACAGACCCAUUAGGCUAAGGAAAAGAAAUAGUAUAUCUUUUGAGUCUACCAUCUUGUAUGCCAAGCAGCGUCGAGUAGAUGAUAUACUAGGCGCUUUUCUUCUAAAUUGUACAGAAAGUCCACUGAGUCAUUGUUGUUUGUAUGCCACCGUAGAGCAAAAUAGUACUUAUUUUAAUCAUUUUUAGGUGAAAUACAAGCAUGUAGCUACCUCACUUAAUUAUUGUACUCACUUGAAGUUUUAUGUUGAUACAAUGCAAUAUUUAAGUAGUAGAGAAACCUCACAAAUUUAAAUUGAUGAAUGAUAUUUAGGAAAAGAAGUAUGCAUGUUUCAUUAUAAAGGGAAAGUCUUUUUCAAGGCAUAGUGUUUAAUUCACGAAUGAUUAAACAGUUUAACGGGGACCAACACUGAGUAGCAGGGGAGUGGCAGUGCAUAGAGACAUAGUGAGGAGAGCGGGGGCGAUGAUGGAGGCGGAGAUGUUUAGAGAAAGAUAUAGAGAGCAGGAGGUUUAACAUGGUGCAAUCAAAAACCGAGAGCCACGCCUUGCUAAGACAAGCACAUUUUAAAACAUAACAAUACUCUGCAUUGUUUUGAUGUUGGUAUCAGAACCAGGUACCAUGUGAAGCUCAAGGAAUGGUUGUAGAUCAUUAUGGAGAAACUGAAGAAAAAAAAGAUCCUUAUGGAGUACAUUAUAAACGACAUUUGGUGUCGGCGGCAUGUCACUACCUCUGACAAAGUUCUCUGAAACACGAUUACUAUCAUGUACAAUGCUUUUACAACCGAUUAAAUUUAUUUGGUACAUAGAGCUAUUGGUCCUUUAUGAUUAUUUUAUUUCUUCAGUACAAAUGCUUUUAGCUCUUGAUAUUUUAUUACGGCUAUACACUUAUCCAUUGACACGCCACUUGUGGAAACUUUUUCCGUUGGAAUAAGAAGAACAACAAUGAUUUAGUUGUAAUAAAAUGCUGAAAAUGCAACCUGAUGUGCAUGAGUACCUUAAAGAUAUAUGCUAGACAACAGCAAUGAUUUAACUUGUUGUAAAAUGUUGUUUCUGCACUAAAUCUUCUUUACAAACUGUUUGCACAAGAGAGGUAGUCCUGCUGGAAUCAUGUAUGCCUCUCGUGAGUUUCACUAUUAAGUAUUCAAAGCAGCAAAGAUAACAGGAUGGAAUGUCAAGGUGAUCACCCGUAUUUCUGGAGAAAUAGUAAGUGGGCUAACUGAGGUGAAACUCAACAAUGUAUCUCUACUAUUAAAGGGCUAUAAAAAUACAGAACUUGUGAAGCAUCCCUUCAAGCUACCAUCUUUACUGGAAGCUUGGUUCCCUUGAUUUGCUUGUUUACAAAUAUUUAACCUGGUGUUUUAUUUGUAUGUUGUCAUCCUGUGGUCAUUAACAAUCAUGCAGAUGGAACUGCUCUUAUUUAGAACAACCUGGCUUAUCCUCGGUCGAGUGAGUCAUAACAGAAUUGAAAAGAAAUGCUGGCAGAGAUAUUAAAAUUCAAACCUGGCUUAUUUUUCUCAAUAUGGGUUCAGAAGGAAAUUGUCGUUGAGCUUCUAUCUAAAGAUUUCAGCAGCCUCGAUGGAUGAUGGCAGGAACCUCAUGGGCCACACAUCCCCUUCCUUAAUUGCACGCCCUCACAAAAUGGAUGGGGACUGGGUUCUUUGGUUGUCGCCGCCGGACUCAGCGAAGGACGAAAAAUCGAGAUGAUCCAGUGGAGAAUAGAUGCCACGGGCUGAAGAAAGGAGGCGACGGUUUCAGAGCACACACCUUGAAGCGGAGAGGCGGCAGGGGAGUGGGUCUGGAUGGCAGAGGGAGCGAGACGAGGCAACAUCAGAUGGGAGGCAUGGUCAAAAGAGGCGCCGUAGGAGCAAUCGUGCGUGUGUGGGGGCCAUACCAGGGAGAAGGAAAUGGGUGGUCGGUUUUCCAGGGCUUUUUUUCCUUGCAUCGGGAAAUGGGUUCGGUUGAAAAAACGAUGAGGUGGGGAGGUCACGCGAAGGGUGGAGACGUGGGUACCAUAUAACGUACCAACUGUGCUUUAAUAGUAGAGAUUAAGAUGUUGAUAUUUUAUUCAUUUUCUACUUAGCUGAAGAUUCUUUGAAGAAAAAAAACUAUGAAACUUGUAAUGUAUCAUGGUCGCAAUUUGUGAAGUAGAACUAACUAUCGUUUGACCAAAUACCCUUUGAUCAUUCAUCAAUUUUUAUGUACUUGUCUCCCAUGACAACAAAUAUGGAAUACAUGUCUGUGUUCUUGAAA